Long non-coding RNA from Phacochoerus africanus (Common warthog), 2451 nucleotides. RefSeq lists it as uncharacterized. NCBI's taxonomy places the organism in Eukaryota, Metazoa, Chordata, Mammalia, Artiodactyla, Suidae. The transcript has 2 exons. The record is from RefSeq and is a predicted model, not a curated record.
CCCUGCAGAGAGUCGGGGAGGGAGCCGCCCCUUCUCCUCCCGGCCAGGUGACAGGCAGCUCUUCUCAGAUCCUUCAAACUGAGCUGUGGGGAACAUACCAGUCAUAGACUCUGAAGACCCUAGAAGUAGAGCCCUAUAGAAUAGCCAGUGCCCCAUCCCCAUUUCUGGCAAAAAGAGGACAAAGGAAUAUUCAGGAAGGGUGGGGCAUGCUCUUGGGCAUGACUGGCUCUAGGGACAGUAUCCUGGGUCCACGCCUGGUGGGGGAGGUGGUAGGGACAGGGCUUAGCCCUCCUGUGCCACACAGGGCCUCCAAGUCCCCACACUGGGCAGGAGGGUAGAGGAGCAACAUGAGAAACCACUUAAGCUUCUCCCUCUGGGGCAGCUGACUGCCUUCCCUUAUUCCAUCCCCCUCAAGGGUGGCUUCAGCGCUGAUAAUAUUGUUUCUUUCUCCUCCUCAGAGUUCAUUACUGUUCUCCAAAUCACCCUGCCAAGCCAUUCUCUAGAAAUGACUUAUCGAUCUGAGAACAAUUAUCCGAUUCCCCUUGGUGCCAUCCUGACAGGCUAAUCCUACCCAAAGCCGCCAGCCAGCCCACCCCUCCCCCGCCCCCAAGGUUGCUGCCCAUAGGCUCCCCUCCCCCACUCACAGAAGCCCAGCGGAGGCAGCUCUGCCCUUCCAAGGCCAGGGCAGGCCUGACCGCUGAGCCUCCCUGUGGAGGUCUGAAGCCAGUGGGCUACGGAACACAAGCACACAUCCACAGGUGCCAAAGGCCCUCCUUCAUCCUGUAUUUAAAAAAUACCCCUUCACACUCAAAUGUACAAACAGGUGCUCACUUGUAGGCACAGAUGCAUGCACACCCUUGGCUGCCCAUUCUGGAUAGAACGGAACAUAAGCAAAGUGUGCAAUGAUUUCUUUCUCCCCAUUUGGGCUCUUUUUUCUUUCCUUGUAGCACUUUCAAGCCCUCAUUGUCUUUCCGGCAUCAAAGGCAGAGAUCAGAUCUUUCCUUUACUCGAAGGAGUUAGACACUUUUUGUGCUAGCAUCACUCUGCUCAGGAGUUAUUUGCAUUGCUGAAGGAUCUGGUCAAAAUUCUGCCCAAGGCCUGAGGGGUGAGAAGACAUGUCACCCUGGCCAGAAGUCCCCACAGGACCCACCGCUGCUGUCCUCCAGGCUGGACUCAAGGAGGGGUGAGGCUGGACCGGAGAUGUCCCUGUCCCCGUCGGGCAGGGAGGGGCUGCUGUCCAGCUGUCCCACCGGUGGAGGCCAAGGUAGGUCUUUGAUGACUUUAAUGUCAACUGGAGCCAGAAGCAGCAGGGAGAAGAGAGAGAUAGACAGGGACAGAGACAGAGACAGAGAAAGGCAGAGGUUGAGACACCAAAAUCCAGAGCCAGGACACAGGACAGCCUAGAAAGGAGGAGGGUCAGAGCAGAGGCAGGGGCAGCUUCUGAGGGAAGAACAGGAUUCUUGGAGGGAUGGGUGGAGCCACACUGACCACACCAGGGUGGGAGGCCCAGGUGGCAGACAGCAGGACACAGGGUCUUGUUCUGCGAUCCCCAAAGGUCCCAUUUGUCUGACCUCUCACAAGCCUCUAGGUCCCAAAGGGACCAGACAGGGGAACACAGGACAAGGAGCUGCCCAUAACUCCCAGGACCACCCGGGCACCCCCACAGCCUGCUGGCACCCCUCUCCUGGCCUCUCUUUCCCCUUCCACCUGCAGCCUGGGAACUCAUGGGCAGGGAGACUGAGACAGCCCAGCCUCAGCCUAUCAGGAACACUCAGACACAGGGGCAGAUGUUUUAUUGAAAUUUACCCCCUACACCCUCAAUCCUGAGGCUUGACAAUUAGAAGAGUGAUGCCACUGGCAGCUGCAGGACUGCUAACUAGGUUUCCUAAUGAUGAGCAUAGAUUUUCCCAUUAAGCAAUCCAAACAGUAUUGAUUCUCCAAGGAGACUUCUGGAAAUAAACGGCCCAUCCUCAAUGGUGCACGCUUUAUAGGAAACAAAUUAGAAACCUGUGGUUUCCCAGUCUGACUGCCAGGGUGGAAGACAGAGGGAAGAAAUGGGUCCAGUACCAGGAUAAGCCCCUUGCCCAAGGAGGGCUGAGGAGGACAUGGGAGUGGGAAUGUCUAAUGGCAUUUAAGUCCUUUAUGUUCUCACUGAUCAACCACCCACUCAGACCUUCCCCAUGUUGAACUCUGGGCCUGGGAUGGACACUGGGGUGCUUAACAAAGCGGAUUUCUCACAGCCUCCCUCUCCCCACUGGUUCCUACUCUUGAGAAAUCCCUUUGGGGCUAGGGGCCCAUGGUCUGGCAUAGCUACCACUGGGAAGACACUGGAAAGUCUUCUAAUCAGGGCUGCUAUCUCUAAAGGUGAUGCACACAGCUGUUUUCAUUGUCUGGAGUGUUAAAUGCCUUCCUUUGUUAAGUGUAAUCAUUUAAUAUAUGCCACAAGUUUUA